Long non-coding RNA from Megachile rotundata (alfalfa leafcutting bee), 1120 nucleotides. The record is from RefSeq and is a predicted model, not a curated record. NCBI's taxonomy places the organism in Eukaryota, Metazoa, Arthropoda, Insecta, Hymenoptera, Megachilidae.
UUAGGACAGGAAUAGAAAGGCUACAGCGAAAUAAUAAUUCUAUAAUUAUUUGAGAAUCAAUUCGGAAUAUAAAUAAAGCCUUGUUUAUGAAGUAUUUGUAAAUGUCAUUGUAAACAUAUUAAUGGCGGAUGUGGCGAUCUAUUUUGGAGGGAACAUAUUGGUAGAUAAACAAAAGCAAAUUUAUUGCACGAUAUAAAUUAAAUUGGGGAUAUCGGAAUUUAGAGAUAUAAAGAUAUAGAGCACAGACUCGAAAAUUACGUUCAGUUAAUAUUAUCAAUAUUGAUAUUAAUAAAUGUCAGUAAUUAUAGUAAAGGCCACCGAUUCCAAGUUUUUUUUACAUAUAACCGCCGGUCGGUGAAGGUCAGUAAAAUGUACUCUUAUUAAAAUAUCUAUUAUAUUCAAGAAAAUAAAUUCAGAGUGCUAAUCACUAACAGCUCUUAAUUUUUAGAAACCAGGUUACCACGUCGAAAACCUGAAGAAAAGAUGAAGAAAAAGGGGUUAAAGUCGAUCGGUUUCACUCAACCUUUAUCAAGCUGCAGGCUCUUGAACCACUGUAAUAACCGUACACACGGAGAGGAUCAGAGGGUAGUACCGCUUAGGUAAGUGGUAGCGUGGAGGGCUCGCAUAGGUGGGGAGAAGAAUGGUGGUGGUAGCGGACGAAGAAGAAGGUUCGAGGGUAGAAACUCGGGUCGAGGAGCGAGGUUAUAGCUAGGAGGAGAAGGAGAACGAGGAGGAACAGCGCGGGCGCUGAUUGGUAGCAGAAUCGAUUAGCCGAGCCGAGCUAAACCGGCACCGCUUCGGCGACGCCACGAAUUUCCCGAAUGGGGGUUUCCCGUUGGGGCGGGCCCGAAUCCAGGGAAUACCCGGCGUUCACCAUGGCAACCCGACCAAUUCGCCAACCGCCGACAACCGAGGAUGACCUACCGUUUCGUUUACGCCUCGAGAAGGAGAAAGACUGCAGCCUUCCUCUUCGACUACCUAUGUGUAUGCGUGUGUGUGUGUGUAUGCGCAUGUACGAGUGCACAGAUACCAGAGAGAGCCACAUUGAUUUUGCCGACGACUGAUACAACCCCGUCGGCACGUUUAAUUAGAACAUGGCGACUUUAAUACAAGCGCACGA